Molecule: unclassified non-coding RNA, 200 nt
Filed under: Tuber sp.
Lineage: Eukaryota; Fungi; Ascomycota; Pezizomycetes; Pezizales; Tuberaceae
Description: partial internal transcribed spacer 2
Source: RNAcentral
UUAAGUUCAGCGGGUAUCCCUACCUGAUCCGAGGUCAACCCAGAGUUUAUCUUGGAUGGAGGUCCAUGGAGGUCAGGCCAGCACCUAGCAAGGGACUGGUUGAUGUCUUUGAAACAGUUACUAAGUCCAUUGCAGUGGUUGAUUGUCCUGCCUAUGAAUUUCGACGGGGUGACCCAGGCAUACUGAUAGCCUCAGUUCAC